This 768-nucleotide long non-coding RNA is filed under the name Apteryx owenii (little spotted kiwi). RNAcentral's name for it is "lncRNA (ENSAOWG00000016530.1)". The stretch from base 149 to 252 matches the Rfam family "SOX2 overlapping transcript exon 1", at positions 125 to 230 of the family's 230-position model. Lineage: Eukaryota; Metazoa; Chordata; Aves; Apterygiformes; Apterygidae. The record is from RNAcentral.
UUCACAGGUAUCAAUGAAAAAUAACUGUGAAGCUUAAAAUGUCUUCAUAUCUUUCAGGGCUUCUCAUUUCCUUCUGGCAUAAUUGCACCAUGAGAGUCACAGAACACUUCAAAUACAAUGAUGGUGAGAGCAACAUGUAUCAAAAAAGUUCUCAGGUGUUUGCCACCUCUUAGAAUUUCACCUGUGUGGGUCCCGUGUUUGAGAAAGUCCCAGGACUUGUCAGCUGGUAUAGGCCUCAUAAAAGACAGUUCUGUUCAGGGUUUGAAAGCAACUGCCUGGUGCCUGGGACUGCAAGCGAAGGAUCCGUCACCUGCACCAGGAGGUGCUGGGAGAGCAGGUGUUCUGCAAGGCUGCGUGUGCCAAGGAGAGGGCGAGAGUGAAAGGGGAAAGUGUUUGACCUGCGGGCACAGUAUUUCCAGGACGUGUGUGGCACAAUUAUAGGGGUUUGAACUGCUUUACUAUAAGCACUGGAUUGUUUUCUUUUCUUUCUUUCUUUCUUUUUUCUCUUUUUCACUUUAGUCUCAGAACUGUUUUAAUGGUUUGUGCAAAUUCUGCUGGGGGUGCUGUUUGCUUGAAAUGAAGUGGGCGGAGAACGAUUGAGGGUAAAGAAGAUUCAUGGUCAGAAAGAUUCUGUCAUUAGUCCAAUUUCUGGAAGAAUUUGAUUUUUUUUCUCCACAGUUAGGUUUUUUCCUAAAUUUGUGAAAUCAGUUCCACAGUAAGGUAAAGACCCUAAAACACUUAGAAUGCAAGUAUGUAUUAGCUGCGGUG